This 490-nucleotide ribosomal RNA is filed under the name uncultured bacterium. RNAcentral's name for it is "partial 16S ribosomal RNA". It matches the Rfam family "Bacterial small subunit ribosomal RNA", at positions 30 to 507 of the family's 1533-position model. The record is from RNAcentral.
AUUGAACGCUGGCGGCAGGCCCAACACAUGCAAGUCGAACGGUAACAGGAAGCAGCUUGCUGCUUUGCUGACGAGUGGCGGACGGGUGAGUAAUGUCUGGGAAACUGCCUGAUGGAGGGGGAUAACUACUGGAAACGGUAGCUAAUACCGCAUAACGUCGCAAGACCAAAGAGGGGGACCUUCGGGCCUCUUGCCAUCGGAUGUGCCCAGAUGGGAUUAGCUAGUAGGUGGGGUAACGGCUCACCUAGGCGACGAUCCCUAGCUGGUCUGAGAGGGUGACCAGCCACACUGGAACUGAGACACGGUCCAGACUCCUACGGGAGGCAGCAGUGGUGAAUAUUGCACAAUGGGCGCAAGCCUGAUGCAGCCAUGCCGCGUGUAUGAAGAAGGCCUUCGGGUUGUAAAGUACUUUCAGCGGGGAGGAAGGGAGUAAAGUUAAUACCUUUGCUCAUUGACGUUACCCGCAGAAGAAGCACCGGCUAACUCCGUG